Molecule: long non-coding RNA, 243 nt
Organism: Ornithodoros turicata
Lineage: Eukaryota; Metazoa; Arthropoda; Arachnida; Ixodida; Argasidae
Exons: 3
Source: RefSeq, a predicted model, not a curated record
AUGAAACCUUUUCCUUGCACGAUAUUAGGCCACCCUUCCUGGUUUUCAGAGUUCCUCCUCGAGUGUGCCUUUUAUAAACCAAAUCAACCCGGCGUUCUUUAGCACACUUCCGAAGCUUCCAUUGCAGCGCACCUCUUACGACCACGUAUCCCACUGCGUGAAAAGAGAAAGUCAUGAAGAUCGUCUUGGUUUUACUCGUGUGCGUAAUGGCUUUCGGUGUGCAUUCUAGCCCUCCUGCUGCAG